GCCUGAAGUAUUUUUGUUAGUAAUCACCUGGCAGCAAUAUUUCUCUUUAAACCUGAAAGGUGGCAUGGUAACCCCUUAAUGCCCAUUGUUAACAUUAUUUGAGUAUUUCAAAGGCUUUUCAGACAUCCUUGUGAUAAAUAUGUGGUCUUCCUUGGCAGCAAGAAUGUGGGCUUCCUGAUGACAGGGACUUCAUAGCACAACCCCAAAGCUCGCCCAGGUAGACACAGCUGAACAAACAAGUGAAGUAAUGAAUGAAUGAGCUAGGAAAAUGCAAUGAAAGUUCUUAUCCUGAAGAAGUGACCUGUGAUCCGACUGCAUGGAGACCCUGGCUGGGGCUCCAAAGAGAUGUCCAGUGAUGAUGCCCACAGGCUGCAUGCAGGGAUCCUGGGAAGGAAGUAGGUGUGGAAAACAAGAUAGCAGAAGAAUGAACUGAGCCACUUCAAAUAAAAACACGGGCCUCAGCAAGCAGGCAAGGAUGUGCUGUCCGUGGGGUCAGCACACAGAGAAGCCAACUUUCGAAUGGAACAGCUUUGAUGUCUUGUGCUUGCAGAAGUUAGAAGAGAGCAGGUUCUGCAAGAAAAAGA
This 584-nucleotide long non-coding RNA is filed under the name Sus scrofa (pig). RNAcentral describes it as "lncRNA (ENSSSCG00060003192.1)". The record is from RNAcentral. Lineage: Eukaryota; Metazoa; Chordata; Mammalia; Artiodactyla; Suidae.